UUGGAGGGCAAGUCUGGUGCCAGCAGCCGCGGUAAUUCCAGCUCCAAUAGCGUAUAUUAAAGUUGUUGCAGUUAAAAAGCUCGUAGUUGAAUUUCGGGAUCAGUUGAUCGGUCGUGCCUCGGUACGUACUGGUCAAAUUGAUUCCUACCUUCUGACGAACCACGAUGUCAUUAAUUUGGUGUCGUGGGAAAUCAGGACUGUUACUUUGAAAAAAUUAGAGUGUUUAAAGCAGGCUCGCGCUUGAAUACAUUAGCAUGGAAUAAUGAAAUAGGACGUUUGAUUCUAUUUUGUUGGUUUCUAGGAUCGACGUAAUGAUUAAUAGGGAUAGUUGGGGGCAUCAGUAUUCAAUUGUCAGAGGUGAAAUUCUUGGAUUUAUUGAAGACUAACUACUGCGAAAGCAUUUGCCAAGGAUGUUUUCAUUAAUCAAGAACGAAAGUUAGGGGAUCGAAGACGAUCAGAUACCGUCGUAGUCUUAACCAUAAACUAUGCCGACUAGGGAUCGGAUGAUGUUAAUUUUUUAAUGACUCAUUCGGCGCCUUACGGGAAACCAAAGUGUUUGGGUUC
This 564-nucleotide ribosomal RNA is filed under the name uncultured Glomeromycotina. Its description in RNAcentral is "SSU rRNA". It matches the Rfam family "Eukaryotic small subunit ribosomal RNA", at positions 548 to 1114 of the family's 1831-position model. The record is from RNAcentral. Lineage: Eukaryota; Fungi; Glomeromycota.